This 303-nucleotide ribosomal RNA is filed under the name uncultured bacterium. Its description in RNAcentral is "partial 16S ribosomal RNA". It matches the Rfam family "Bacterial small subunit ribosomal RNA", at positions 507 to 810 of the family's 1533-position model. The record is from RNAcentral.
AGCAGUAGCCGCGGUAAUACGAAGGGUGCAAGCGUUACUCGGAAUUACUGGGCGUAAAGCGUGCGUAGGUGGUGGUUUAAGUCCGUUGUGAAAGCCCUGGGCUCAACCUGGGAAUUGCAGUGGAUACUGGAUCACUAGAGUGUGUAGAGGAUAGUGGAAUUUCCGGUGUAGCAGUGAAAUGCGUAGAGAUCGGAAGGAACAUCUGUGGCGAAGGCGACUAUCUGGGCCAACACUGACACUGAGGCACGAAAGCGUGGGGAGCAAACAGGAUUAGAUACCCCAGUAGUCCCUGUCUUUUAUACA